GACAGAGGAUGCAAGCGUUAUCCGGAAUGAUUGGGCGUAAAGCGUCUGUAGGUGGCUUUUUAAGUCUGCCGUCAAAUCCCAGGGCUUAACCCUGGAGAGGCGGUGGAAACUGGUUGACUUGAGUGCGGUAGGGGCAGAGGGAAUUCCCAGUGUAGCGGUGAAAUGCGUAGAUAUUGGGAAGAACACCGGUGGCGAAAGCGCUCUGCUGGGCCUGCACUGACACUGAGGGACGAAAGCUAGGGGAGCGAAAGGG
Molecule: ribosomal RNA, 253 nt
Filed under: uncultured bacterium
Lineage: Bacteria
Description: partial 16S ribosomal RNA
Rfam family: Bacterial small subunit ribosomal RNA
Source: RNAcentral